This is a long non-coding RNA of Mirounga angustirostris (Northern elephant seal), 1257 nucleotides long. RefSeq lists it as uncharacterized. The record is from RefSeq and is a predicted model, not a curated record. The transcript has 6 exons. NCBI's taxonomy places the organism in Eukaryota, Metazoa, Chordata, Mammalia, Carnivora, Phocidae.
AGAGCCAUUAAUCAAAUUUUCUUGCUGGACGAGAUCUAAUACCUAGUCCCACAGCUGUAAAUAAAGGUGGCUAUUUAACUUGUUUGGGCCGUUCCAAAGCUUAUGCAACGUGUAACCCGUCCGCUUGAAAAAGCUGCACUUUAAAACAGGAAUAGCAACAACAAAAAAAGAGGCACACCUACAAAAUAUGCUAAAAGCUUUACUUGGAAAGUAAGGAGUUUCUAACUACUUUCAGAGGCUGACUUCGUCUUUUUCCCACUACAGAACUGUUAAAGAGCACACUAAACAGAAAGAGAGAGCACAAGCAGAGGAGGGGCCGAGGGAGAGGGAGAGAGAGAAUCUGAAAAAGGCUCCAUGCUCAGCCCAGAGCCCAAUACCGGGCUCCAUCUCACAACCCUGAGAUCAUGACCUGAGUUGAAAUCAAGAUUCAGAUGCUUAACUGACUGAGCCACCCAGGGUCAAUCUCUGAGGAAGCCAACUGCCAUGUCAUGAGUACACUCAAGUAACUGUGGAGAGGCCCUUGAGGCAAGAAAAAACGGCAUCUUGCCAACAGUCUUGUGUCUGCGCUAACUAUAAGACCGAUCCUCCAGCCCUAAUCAAGUCUUCAGAGGACUGCAGCCUCACAAAAGACCCUGUGCUAGAACCAGCAAUCAGCUUCUUCUCCAAAGCCUAUAUGUAUCAGGAAUUUAAGUUAAAAAUUUAUAGCGCCACAGAAACGAACCUGAUCCUACUCUACUACCUAAAAGGAAACAUACAUCAGGACAGACUGAAAUACCAAAAUUUCUCAGAAGACAAAAAGGGAAGAAGACUCUGACAGACUGCUACAAAGAUGCUUCUGAUCUAAGAAAAAAGGAAUCAUACUGCUCCACCAAUAUUGACUCAAAGAAACUCUUAAUCUGUUACAGAAUGAGAAUACUGUCUUUAUUUUUGAAUUAAAAAGUUACCCUCAUAUACUAGCCUAUGGACUUCUAUAAAGAGAGAGAGCACAAGCAGAGGGAGCAGCAGAAGCAGAGGCAGAAGCAGGCUCCCUGCCAAGCAAGGAGCCCGACGUGGGACUCGAUCCCAGGACUCCAGGAUCACGACCUGAGCCAAAGGCAGAUGCUUAACUGACUGAGCCACCCAGGCGUCCCCUGUUGUCGUAUUUUAAUAAUGUUUACUAUGACGUUUAAAUUCCUUAUGGGUCAAGGGGCACCUGGUUGGCUCAGUCCAAAGAGCAUGCAGCUCUUGAUCUCAGCAUUGUAAGUUCAAGCCCCAUGU